RNAcentral lists this ribosomal RNA (501 nucleotides) under uncultured bacterium. Its description in RNAcentral is "partial 16S ribosomal RNA". It matches the Rfam family "Bacterial small subunit ribosomal RNA", at positions 30 to 523 of the family's 1533-position model. The record is from RNAcentral.
AUUGAACGCUGGCGGCAGGCUUAACACAUGCAAGUCGAGCGGGGGAAGGUAGCUUGCUACCGGACCUAGCGGCGGACGGGUGAGUAAUGCUUAGGAAUCUGCCUAUUAGUGGGGGACAACAUCUCGAAAGGGAUGCUAAUACCGCAUACGUCCUACGGGAGAAAGCAGGGGAUCUUCGGACCUUGCGCUAAUAGAUGAGCCUAAGUCGGAUUAGCUAGUUGGUGGGGUAAAGGCCUACCAAGGCGACGAUCUGUAGCGGGUCUGAGAGGAUGAUCCGCCACACUGGGACUGGAACACGGCCCAGACUCCUACGGGAGGCAGCAGUGGGGAAUAUUGGACAAUGGAGGGAACCCUGAUCCAGCCAUGCCGCGUGUGUGAAGAAGGCCUUAUGGUUGUAAAGCACUUUAAGCGAGGAGGAGGCUACUUUAGUUAAUACCUAGAGAUAGUGGACGUUACUCGCAGAAUAAGCACCGGCUAACUCUGUGCCAGCCGCCGCCGUAA